RNAcentral lists this ribosomal RNA (484 nucleotides) under uncultured bacterium. Its description in RNAcentral is "partial 16S ribosomal RNA". It matches the Rfam family "Bacterial small subunit ribosomal RNA", at positions 30 to 507 of the family's 1533-position model. The record is from RNAcentral.
AUUGAACGCUGGCGGCAGGCCUAACACAUGCAAGUCGAGCGGAUGAAGGGAGCUUGCUCCUGGAUUCAGCGGCGGACGGGUGAGUAAUGCCUAGGAAUCUGCCUGGUAGUUGGGGAUAACGUCCGGAAACGGGCGCUAAUACCGCAUACGUCCUGAGGGAGAAAGUGGGGGAUCUUCGGACCUCACGCUAUCAGAUGAUCCUAGGUCGGAUUAGCUAGUUGGUGGGGUAAAGGCCUACCAAGGCGACGAUCCGUAACUGGUCUGAGAGGAUGAUCAGUCACACUGGAACUGAGACACGGUCCAGACUCCUACGGGAGGCAGCAGUGGGGAAUAUUGGACAAUGGGCGAAAGCCUAAUCCAGCCAUGCCGCGUGUGUGAAGAAGGUCUUCGGAUUGUAAAGCACUUUAAGUUGGGAGGAAGGGCAGUAAGUUAAUACCUUGCUGUUUUGACGUUACCAAAAGAAUAAGCACCGGCUAACUUCGUG